GCUUACGGCCAUACCAACCUG
This 21-nucleotide ribosomal RNA is filed under the name Carassius auratus (goldfish). The record is from RNAcentral. RNAcentral also lists the same sequence under 23 other names. Lineage: Eukaryota; Metazoa; Chordata; Actinopteri; Cypriniformes; Cyprinidae.